This 328-nucleotide unclassified non-coding RNA is filed under the name soil metagenome. Its description in RNAcentral is "partial contains 5.8S ribosomal RNA, internal transcribed spacer 2, and large subunit ribosomal RNA". The stretch from base 5 to 119 matches the Rfam family "5.8S ribosomal RNA", at positions 40 to 154 of the family's 154-position model. The record is from RNAcentral.
GAUGAGAACGUAGCGAAAUGCGAUAAGUAAUGUGAAUUGCAGAAUUCAGUGAAUCAUCGAAUCUUUGAACGCACAUUGCGCCCCCUGGUAUUCCGGGGGGCAUGCCUGUCCGAGCGUCAUUACAACCCUCAAGCUCAGCUUGGUAUUGGGCCCCGCCGCUCCGGCGGGCCCUAAAGUCAGUGGCGGUGCCGUCCGGCUCCGAGCGUAGUAAUUCUUCUCGCUCUGGAGGUCCGGUCGUGUGCUCGCCAGCAACCCCCAAUUUUUUUCAGGUUGACCUCGGAUCAGGUAGGGAUACCCGCUGAACUUAAGCAUAUCAAUAAGCGGAGGA